Molecule: long non-coding RNA, 1826 nt
Organism: Dermochelys coriacea (leatherback sea turtle)
Lineage: Eukaryota; Metazoa; Chordata; Testudines; Dermochelyidae
Exons: 3
Source: RefSeq, a predicted model, not a curated record
GGGGGAGGACUGACUGAAGAAAUGCCAUGGAUAGAUCAGUGCUGGGCAGGGGCAGUAGAGUGCAAGGGUGAGCUGCUGGCUGACCACUGCCAGGCUUGGGCCUUGCUACGUGGGCUCAGAGGAUGCUAGGGCUACGGGGGAAGUGGCCCAGGGAAAUAGGCAGCAAGUUGGAGGAGGGCAGUAGGUGAUGACUGGCUAUAGGGUCCCGGGUCAGGACCCAGAGUAGUGCGGGGGCCUGGGUUAUCCCCCUUUCAUCCCACUUGCCAGUGAGGAGAAUGGCUGGUAUCCGGACUGCAGUUUGCCCCUGAGGUGAGGGGCUGGACUUUGGACUGCAGUUGGCCACUGACGCAAGUGGGGGGACUAAGGUCUGCCAGUCCCCAGGAAGGGGGAGAUACCAGAGUGGAGGCACAGCUGGAAGACUGUGCUCAGAAGAGGACACUGUGGUCUGGGGAGUGAUGCAGGUCCAGAGAGUGGAGAUAGCAGUGACAGCUGGCAUGUUGAAGGCAGACUGGAAGGGCCAUGAGCUAAUUCCCAGGAUGGCCAGCAGAAGGCACCUCAGUGGUGCCUGAAACAAAUCCUUAGUAUCAGAUGGCCAGAAAAAUCACAAAUGACGUGCUUUGGAGGAGGAUGGAACAGAAACAACAGGAGAGGAAAUUAUGGAAUGAAAAUGGAGUUGGCCAGAUUACACAUGAAGGAAAGAUCUGAAGACCAUAACAAGACGAGCAUUAGACUGAAAUCCUCAGGGUUAGAGGGGCCGAGGUUGACCAAGGGCAACAUGGAAACACACAACUGAAGCAGAAUUAAAGCUAAGAGUGCAGCAGAAGCUCAUUGAAGAGGGAAGGCACUAGUGAAGGCCUUGUGCUCUGUAUGGAAUAAAGAAGGAUGCAGCCAUGUGUUCCAUGUAGGUGAUUCACAAGCAAGACCCACAGGAGGUGGGGCUCCGAGUCUAUUUAAACAAGGAUUGCCUUCCCAACAUUUGCAUCUCAGUGGGAUGCCGUAGCAAAGGCAUUGUUCAUAAACAUGUACAGAAGACCAAGUGGCUGCCUUGCAAAUGUUCAAAAUGGGAACCAACUUCUGCUGGUGCGAGAGACAAGCCGUGAAACUUGCACUGACUGGGAUGGAGCAGGGCCACCUUUAUAUGGCCAGGGGAGGGGCUAAGACCACAAGUGCUGCCCUUACGGGGUACUGCUAAACAAAAGUUCUCUGGCUCCAGCAUGCUGGGCACCUACACCUACACGCACACCUACCGGGAAUCUGCAUCUACUCAAAGAAGAAAUUGUCUCCUCUAAGGUUGAGAUUUUAAUUGUGUGGGUCUAGAUUGUGGCUUUUAUGACAUAGCCCUGUGAAAGAAGCAGUGCACAGCCCCACCAUGCCCAGAGGAGCACUAGGGGAUUGUGCAUUAGAGGUGCAAAAAUCUCUCCCAGGGCUGUUCCCUGUCCCGAGAGAAUGAGUAAUCUGUUCCAUCCAUUAAAAUGGAGUUCAUUGCCUCCCUGGGGUGCCAGCCCCAUUACAACCUUAAUCAGUGCCUCUCCAUAAUUAAAUCUUUCAUUUUUGUGCUUUAACCCAUCUGAUUACAUCAAGAUGAUUUUUACAAAGUUCCUGAAAAGCAGUGAUCAUUAAUAUAAAUAAACUGUCUACUACUGUGAAUGAGUGUCCAUCGUUAUGGUUGACGAUAAUCCCGGUGGUUGCACAUUCUUCCAUGCACCUACCAUUAGGGUAGCACUAAACACUGAUGUCACGGAGGUGAGGUGCUGCAUACCCACAUGUGCUUCAUGUGUGUGCAUCUGCCGCUCUGGUAUCAUCACUAGUGACAUUACACUGAUCCA